CGUCCGAUGGUGGUGAGGACAAUCUACCGAGAAGCCCUUAAACCUCUCCCAGGCUUGAUACAAAUUUUCUCCAUUUUUCUGCCUGAAUGACAUGAGCUCCCUUCGGAGGCG
Molecule: small nucleolar RNA, 111 nt
Organism: Lycium ferocissimum
Lineage: Eukaryota; Viridiplantae; Streptophyta; Magnoliopsida; Solanales; Solanaceae
Source: RefSeq, a predicted model, not a curated record